CAGGAGUAAAGACAUGGCUCGUGACCAUAGGAGCUUCCAGAAAGAGGGUACGGGAAGAUCCACCCCACGCUGACCUGACGUGGGCCUGCACCCCAGGCCUACAAAGGAGCCUGGCCUGGAGUAGGAGAAUAUACAUAUAGCACCAUGCACACCGACAUCAAAUUCUUCAUGGAACCCGAGGUCAAUGAACUUUUACAUACGCCUAAACCUGUGUGACACCAACCAGAUCAUGAUGCAAAACACCUCCACCAUGCUAGAAGUUUCCCUGAAGCUCCCUUGCAGUCAGCGUCCCGCACGGGUAACUGCCAUCCCAGCCUCUCUCACUGAAGAUUGGCUCCGCCUGUUCCUGAACUUACUAACGGAAUAGCAUGUACUCGUU
Molecule: long non-coding RNA, 379 nt
Organism: Neofelis nebulosa (Clouded leopard)
Lineage: Eukaryota; Metazoa; Chordata; Mammalia; Carnivora; Felidae
Exons: 2
Source: RefSeq, a predicted model, not a curated record